UCCUCUUUCUUCACAGUCCUGUCUGAAGGUGUUCGGCUGCCUUUUUUCAAAGGCUUGUGGUCUUCUGCAUCACUGGAAGAAAAAGAAAUUUUCGAAUGAAGGAGCCAUCCU
Molecule: long non-coding RNA, 111 nt
Organism: Myotis davidii
Lineage: Eukaryota; Metazoa; Chordata; Mammalia; Chiroptera; Vespertilionidae
Exons: 3
Source: RefSeq, a predicted model, not a curated record